UCCGUAGGCGGGCAAUUAAGUCAGAGGUGAAAUCCCACAGCUCAACUGUGGAACUGCCUUUGAUACUGGUUGUCUUGAGUUACAGUGAAGUAGAUAGAAUAUGUAGUGUAGCGGUGAAAUGCAUAGAUAUUACAUAGAAUACCGAUUGCGAAGGCAGUCUACUAACUAACAACUGACGCUAAUGGACGAAAGCGUGGGGAGCGAACAGGAUUAGAUACCCUGGUAGUCC
Molecule: ribosomal RNA, 229 nt
Filed under: uncultured bacterium
Lineage: Bacteria
Description: partial 16S ribosomal RNA
Rfam family: Bacterial small subunit ribosomal RNA
Source: RNAcentral